This 465-nucleotide ribosomal RNA is filed under the name Vreelandella stevensii. RNAcentral describes it as "partial 16S ribosomal RNA". It matches the Rfam family "Bacterial small subunit ribosomal RNA", at positions 338 to 795 of the family's 1533-position model. Lineage: Bacteria; Pseudomonadati; Pseudomonadota; Gammaproteobacteria; Oceanospirillales; Halomonadaceae. The record is from RNAcentral.
CCUACGGGUGGCUGCAGUGGGGAAUAUUGGACAAUGGGGGGAACCCUGAUCCAGCCAUGCCGCGUGUGUGAAGAAGGCCCUCGGGUUGUAAAGCACUUUCAGUGAGGAAGAACGCCUGGUGGUUAAUACCCAUCAGGAAAGACAUCACUCACAGAAGAAGCACCGGCUAACUCCGUGCCAGCAGCCGCGGUAAUACGGAGUGUGCGAGCGUUAAUCGGAAUUACUGGGCGUAAAGCGCGCGUAGGUGGCUUGAUAAGCCGGUUGUGAAAGCCCCGGGCUCAACCUGGGAACGGCAUCCGGAACUGUCAAGCUAGAGUGCAGGAGAGGAAGGUAGAAUUCCCGGUGUAGCGGUGAAAUGCGUAGAGAUCGGGAGGAAUACCAGUGGCGAAGGCGGCCUUCUGGACUGACACUGACACUGAGGUGCGAAAGCGUGGGUAGCAAACAGGAUUAGAUACCCGUGUAGUC